UGAGCAGGUCGGGGCGCGUGUUCCGGAAGCCCGGCCCCGGGCGCUGUGAGGGGCACCUGGGGACGCUCCGCGAGUCUCUGUCCCAGCCCUGAGCUCAGCGGAAGACUGCAGAGUCCUGGGCCCACGAGAAUUCCGGCAGAAUCAGGCUUCCGGAUGUUCCAGGGACGUGUCCUGGUUCCCUGGCUAUUAUUACAAAGCAGCAGUUCAGAUCCAUGGAACUUCUCGACUGUUCUGCCUCUCGGUGACUUGAUCCAUCAACUGAAUAGUACAGCAUCUGAUCAGAUUUUAGAGAGAUUGUGCAUCCAGCUCUGGCUGUGGACCUGUGGUGUCGUGAUGACCUGGGAUCAUCAGAGAGCAGGAGGCCAUUCCCUUUGGUGCCUCUCAUUCCCUGUGUGCUGGCCAGCACAUCAUUAGGCCUGAUGGAAGGGUCUGCCAGGCCCUUCCCCACCGAGGGCCUCGUCAAGCUUCCUUGACAGGUGUGCAUCAGCAGGGCCUCAGCCGGGGCCGGCAAGCCUGGAAGGCCCUUGGCAGUGUCCUCAGUGCAUACAGUCAUCUUCCAUCUAGCUGUCCUGAUGCUGUGAGGCGGUGUCUCACUGUAUCCUGCGCCGUUUUGAUGAAGGAACAUCAGAUCACGCUUCCUCUGCUGAACACCCUCUCAAGAGUAAAAGCCUCGGCCUUCCUGGUGGCCUCCCAAGCCUGAAGGAUUCCCAGUGACCUCUGGCCUCAUCUCUGGAUGAUGCCCUGUCCUUCCCCCAAGCUGUUUCCCAAGCCCACCUAGCAGCCCCGAUGUCCUUCUGUAUCUGCCUGAUGUCUCCGCUUCACCAGGACUUCAUAUAAGGAGAUGACGGCUGGAUGAGCACUCUGCAGAGGGGUGCAGGGAGGCAGCCGUUUAUUCAAGGGAAGGGGAAAUGUUGCAGCAACAGGUGGAGGUGAAGGUCAAGUGCAGAGCCCUCCUGGCACAUCCAGUGCUCUCUCUGUCAUGGGGAGGGGUGAGGAGGGAGGAUGGUGCUUCCAGGAAAGCAGAGCUGAGGCCCGCUGGACUCCAGGCAGCUCUCUGCUCUCCUCGCCUUUUGCCUCAGAUUUUUGCAUGUCAGUCGGUCUGGAGAGGAGCUGAUGCUCUGGCGGUGCUGUCUGGCUCUGAACUAUGGAAGCCAAGAGCUCUGGUGGGGUAGGAACUGAGGGUCCACUACAUUUGCCCCAAGAACAUCCUUGCUGGCCUCACCGAGGGAGCCUGGCACGUGUCAUGCUUGGCAGUUGUUUUCCUGAGACUCCCCUGCUUUGACGGCGACAGGACACGGGGCCCUGAAUGCAUGAUAACAACAACUGCAGGUCCCCUGAGCCUUGUUUGUAGGGGUGGGUCAUCUCUAGUACCGACCUCCAUCCCCCUGAGAAGCAGGGCUGGCCACUUUGCCACCAGCCCCAGCCCUGCCCUGGAGAGAUCUGCAGUAUAAACGGACCGUGUGAAUGCUGGGAUCUGCAGUGUAAACGGACCGUGUGAAUGCUGAUUUUUACAAAGGCCCAAAUGUGGUCAAUUCAGUUAUUCAUACCAGGCAAGGAAGCUGCCUUAUGAAUAAUUCAAAGUUGUUGCAAAUCCACAGACCUUUUUCACAUUGCCUGCUUGCAGUAGGCUCUCCAUAAAUGUUUACCGAAUAACUGAAUAAAUUAACAUAUGAAUGAAUAUUUUGCAAUAAGCUUUUGGUAUUUACUUUUGCACAUCCGUCUGUUGAUGUUCUGCGGAUCAGCAGAUGGCCUCACAAAGGGGCUCAGGCAUGCUCCCCAAACAGGCCUGGAGCGCCCAGAAAAGCCAAGUGGGCCAUGGUUCUCCCUUGCCCUGCAGGAGUGGCGGGGAAUAGGAAAAAAACGUCCCCGUGGCUGAUACAGCCUCUAGCUGGAAGCUGUGAGAUUCCUGACACAGGCCGUGCCUGAUUUGUGUGACUUACCACUUUCAUUCUGCUUUUAUAACCCUCUCCUCUAGCCUUGGUUAAAGCUACCAUGUGGUCAGCAGAAUGGUCCCCCAAAGAUGUUCGGGCUCUCACCCCUGGAAACUGUGACUAUGUUCCGUCGCGUGGGAAGAGGGCUUUACAGAUGUGAUGAAAGGUAUGGACCUCACGAUAGAGAGAUCAUCUGGAACUAUCUGGUGAUGAAAAGUAUGGACCUCACAAUAGAGAGAUCAUCUGGAACUCUCUGGGCAGGCCCAGCUAAAUCACACGUGCCCUCAAAAGCAAAGACCUCUCUUCACUGGCGUCCGAGAGGUGGGGCUGAAGGAGAGGUGGGAGGGAUGGAAAAGUGAGAAGGCUCCAUGGGCUGCUGGGGGCUUGCAGAGGGAGGGUCACUGAGUCCAGGAAUGUAGGUGGCCCCAAGGAGCUUGAAAAGGCCUGGAACCAGUGGAGAAAUUGGGACUUAUACCCUGUAGCUAUCAGGAUGUGAAUUCUCCCAACUACAUAAGUGAGCUUGGAAGUGGAAUCCUUCCUGGAGCCCCCAGAAAGGGACACAGCCCUGCCAACACCUUGAUUUUGACCUUGUGGGACCCUAAGCAAAGAGCCGACUGAGCCACCCUGUGGCUGGACUUCUGACCCACGGAAACUGUGACCAAUGUACGGGCGAUGUUUUAAUUUACCAACUUUCACAGCAGCGUGCUAACACAGCGAACCAAUGUCACGGUGGCUUUGGACACGUGGCUUUAGCUCUUGGGACCCUGCUUCUUCCCCCUGAGUCUGAAGGGUUAGGUCACACCAUCUCUGACACCUCUCCCAGCUCUCAGGUUCUAGGAUUUGCUAUCAAUGAUAUCAACAGUUUUUGGAAUCAGGCUUGGGAGUCAAGCAGGCUGGGUUCAGGUUACCACUUUACAGCUUGAAGCUGCGCUGCUUUGUUCUGUGUUUUUGUUCCUAAUCUGUACACAGGGAUAAUAACACUGCCUUAUAAGGUUUUAACGAUUAAAUGGGAUCAUGCCUGAAAAAAAACU
Long non-coding RNA from Cercocebus atys (sooty mangabey), 2962 nucleotides. RefSeq lists it as uncharacterized. The record is from RefSeq and is a predicted model, not a curated record. The transcript is spliced from 8 exons. NCBI's taxonomy places the organism in Eukaryota, Metazoa, Chordata, Mammalia, Primates, Cercopithecidae.